Mya arenaria is the source of this 521-nucleotide long non-coding RNA. RefSeq lists it as uncharacterized. Lineage: Eukaryota; Metazoa; Mollusca; Bivalvia; Myida; Myidae. The record is from RefSeq and is a predicted model, not a curated record. The transcript has 3 exons.
UUGAACAAAACUACUUAUUUCAAUCCACUCAAAAUUUAUUUAAUACUGAAAUUGUCCGUGCAUGACCUAAAUAAGUGUUACUAUUUUUAAACUAUAAACAUCGUACAUUUAUGCUUUGGCUUGUGUUGUCAAAUCGGCAUUAAUGGCCAUUUAAUAUCCGGUUCAACAUGGACACGAUUGAUUUCAUUCAAGAUAGAGCACUUUGUCGACGGGAAAUCCAAUCAAGAAAACCCUGACCCUCAAGCAGCUACUGUAUUUGACCAGCUCACACCAGAACUGAAGCUAACAUCAUUGAGGUACAUCCUUCCAAGAAUCCAUCAAAACAACAUGCUGAACAACUUCAAGAACUCUCUUCAAAAGACCACACUUUCCUGAAAUAAAUAAAAGAUGCCAAUAUUAAAAUAAAUCAGUUACAUGUAUUGUUAAAUAUUUUAAUACUAGCUGUAAAUGCUACUGCCUUUGAUGUUUGCUUUCUACAUGUAUAUCAUAAUGAAAUAUUGACAAGAUAAUAGCUAAUGUUU